RNAcentral lists this transfer RNA (89 nucleotides) under human gut metagenome. RNAcentral's name for it is "Selenocysteine transfer RNA". It matches the Rfam family "Selenocysteine transfer RNA". RNAcentral also lists the same sequence under 1 other name. The record is from RNAcentral.
AGGUAGAUCGGUUGCUGGUGUGCCGCGCGGUCUUCAAAACCGUUGUAGGGGGUUAAGAGCCUCCUGGGUGGGUUCGAUUCCCACCUCCU